Molecule: transfer RNA, 72 nt
Filed under: Liobagrus somjinensis
Lineage: Eukaryota; Metazoa; Chordata; Actinopteri; Siluriformes; Amblycipitidae
Description: tRNA-Asp
Rfam family: tRNA
About the family: Transfer RNA (tRNA) molecules are approximately 80 nucleotides in length. Their secondary structure includes four short double-helical elements and three loops (D, anti-codon, and T loops).
Source: RNAcentral
AAGAUGCUAGUAAAACGAUUAUUACAUUGCCUUGUCAAGGCAAAAUUGUAGGUUUAAACCCUGCGCAUCUUA